RNAcentral lists this ribosomal RNA (397 nucleotides) under uncultured bacterium. Its description in RNAcentral is "partial 16S ribosomal RNA". It matches the Rfam family "Bacterial small subunit ribosomal RNA", at positions 523 to 918 of the family's 1533-position model. The record is from RNAcentral.
AUACGUAGGGGGCGAGCGUUGUCCGGAAUGAUUGGGCGUAAAGGGCGCGUAGGCGGCCCGGUAAGUCUGGAGUGAAAGUCCUGUUUUUAAGAUGGGAAUUGCUUUGGAUACUGUCGGGCUUGAGUGCAGGAGAGGUAAGUGGAAUUCCCCGUGUAGCGGUGAAAUGCGUAGAGAUUGGGAGGAACACCAGUGGCGAAGGCGACUUACUGGACUGUAACUGACGCUGAGGCGCGAAAGUGUGGGGAGCAAACAGGAUUAGAUACCCUGGUAGUCCACAUUGUAAACGAUGAAUGCUAGGUGUAGGGGGUAUCGACCCCUUCUGUGCCGCAGUCAACACAAUAAGCAUUCCGCCUGGGGAGUACGGCCGCAAGGUUGAAACUCAAAGGAAUUGACGGGG